Molecule: microRNA precursor, 96 nt
Filed under: Bacillus sp. OV166
Lineage: Bacteria; Bacillati; Bacillota; Bacilli; Caryophanales; Bacillaceae
Description: microRNA mir-598
Source: RNAcentral
UGAUGAUGGUGAUUAUGAUCAUGGUCAUGGUCAUGAUUGUGGUCAUGAUCGUGCUCAUGACCGUGCUCAUGGACAUGUUCAUGAUGGUGUUCGUGA